This 1495-nucleotide ribosomal RNA is filed under the name uncultured Chloroflexota bacterium. Its description in RNAcentral is "uncultured Chloroflexi bacterium partial 16S ribosomal RNA". It matches the Rfam family "Bacterial small subunit ribosomal RNA". The record is from RNAcentral. Lineage: Bacteria; Bacillati; Chloroflexota.
UAGAGUUUGAUCAUGGCUCAGAAUCAACGCUGGCGGCGUGCCUAACACAUGCAAGUCGAACGCGAAAGGGGCUUCGGCCCUGAGUAGAGUGGCAGACGGGUGAGUAACGCGUGGGUGACCUACCCUCGAGCGGGGGAUAACGUCCCGAAAGGGACGCUAAUACCGCAUGACAUCCUGCCCUUGGACGGGCGGUGAUCAAAGCCGGGGAUCGCAAGACCUGGCACUUGAGGAGGGGCCCGCGUCCGAUUAGCUAGUUGGUGGGGUAACGGCUCACCAAGGCGACGAUCGGUAGCCGGCCUGAGAGGGCGGACGGCCACACUGGGACUGAGACACGGUCCAUACUCCUACGGGAGGCAGCAGUGAGGAAUAUUGCACAAUGGACGAAAGUCUGAUGCAGCGACGCCGCGUGGGCGACGAAGGCCUUCGGGUUGUAAAGCCCUUUUGGCAGGGACGAGUGAGGACGGUACCUGUCGAAUAAGUCUCGGCUAACUACGUGCCAGCAGCCGCGGUAAAACGUAGGAGGCGAGCGUUAUCCGGAUUUACUGGGCGUAAAGCGUGCGUAGGCGGUUGGUCAAGUCAGUUGUUAAAGCCCCUGGCUCAACUGGGGGAGGUCAUUUGAUACUGGCCGGCUUGAGGGUGAGAGAGGAGAGUGGAAUUCCCGGUGUAGCGGUGGAAUGCGUAGAGAUCGGGAGGAACACCAGUGGCGAAAGCGGCUCUCUGGCUCACUUCUGACGCUGAGUGCACGAAAGCGUGGGGAGCAAACGGGAUUAGAUACCCCGGUAGUCCACGCCCUAAACGAUGAGGGCUGGGUGUCGGCAGGGUUACCUGUCGGUGCCGAAGCAAACGCGUUAAGCCCUCCGCCUGGGGACUACGAACGCAAGUUUAAAACUCAAAGGAAUAGACGGGGGCCCGCACAAGCAGCGGAGCGUGUGGUUCAAUUCGAUGCAACACGAAGAACCUUACCAGGGUUUGACAUGUAUGUGGUAGGAAACUGAAAGGGGCCCGACCCGCAAGGGAGCAUGCACAGGUGCUGCAUGGCCGUCGUCAGCUCGUGCCGUGAGGUGUUGGGUUAAGUCCCGCAACGAGCGCAACCCUUGCCCUGUGUUGCUACUUCGAUAGAAGGCACUCUCAGGGGACCGCCAGCGAUAAGCUGGAGGAAGGUGGGGAUGACGUCAAGUCAGCAUGGCCUUUAUGUCCAGGGCUACACACGUGCUACAAUGGCCGGUACAGAGCGUUCCCAAGCCGCGAGGCGGAGGUAAUCGCAAAAAGCCGGUCUCAGUUCGGAUUGCAGGCUGCAACUCGCCUGCAUGAAGCCGGAAUCGCUAGUAAUGCUACAUCAGAACGGUAGCGUGAAUACGUUCCCGGGCCUUGUACACACCGCCCGUCACAUCACGAAAGCGGGUUGUACUAGAAGUCUGCAGGCUGACCCGCAAGGGAGGCAGCGGCCCAAGGUAUGACUCGUGAUUGGGGUGAAGUCGUAACAAGGUAGCCGUAA